Molecule: long non-coding RNA, 1260 nt
Organism: Tympanuchus pallidicinctus (lesser prairie-chicken)
Lineage: Eukaryota; Metazoa; Chordata; Aves; Galliformes; Phasianidae
Exons: 2
Source: RefSeq, a predicted model, not a curated record
UCCCCGCGGGAAGGUGGCCGCGGCCGCGCACCUGCGUGGGGCAGACGGGACGGAACGGGACCGGACCGGACGGGGCGGGGGGAAACUCCGUGGAAAGUCGGCCCCGGUGGGGCUGAACCGCUCGGGGUUCCCGCGUGUGGGUCCGGAGCUCGGCGCCGGGGGGGGGGGGUCCGGGAGCGGAGCGUCGCGGAGCGUCGCGGAGCCGAGGGGCCGAGCGAUCGGCGCUCCCAAAGUUUUGGGGAACUCUGUCCCGUCCCGAGCUGUAACUGCAGUCUGCUGCCGGCCGCUUUAAAUCUCUGGGAGAAAAUGAUUUCUGGUGGAAGAAGCGGGGAUGCUCGUGGCAUCUCCCCGCUGCCGGCGCAGAGUGAAAGUUCGCACGGGGAAUGAAGGGAGAGGGAACCGCGUCGUGCGCGGGGAGCGGCGGGGAGGACGGGGAAUCCCGGCCGAGGAGAUCCGGAGGUGCCCCCCAUCCGCUGCGGGAGCCGCGCGGUGGGGCCAUCCUUAGAAACGGGGGCGCCGGGACUCAGCCCGGUUACACGUGGAGGUUCCUUCGGAGCGGGGAGCGCUGCGGGGCUGAGCGAUGCGCUGGGGGGACAUGAGCGCGCUUGAGUUCUUUCCCCUUUUAUUAUUGUUAAUUUAAAGGACACCGAGAUCCGCGUAAAGGUGAAGCCGCGCGGUGCCGAUUAUACAUACACAGCAGCCCUUGACAGCGCCUUGUCACUUUUGGGGCUCAGCGUCGCUUCGAGCGCUGUCGAGGAAACGCAGUCACCCAAUGAGGAGCGAAGGGAAACUGAGGCAUGGGCUGUCCCAGGGGCACGCAGCCCCCCCGGCCCCACUUCGCGCUGCCACAUGCUGUCCUCCCACCCCGCAUUCUCCUCAUGUCCCAGCACAGCAGUUCGUAGAGUAACCCUGCGGCUGCCUGAAUGGGGUGAGGUAUAUCCGAGCAUUUCGUAUGUAAAGAACACCCCCCGUCACAAGGGCCUGAUCCUGCUUUUAUUCACGCCUCUGUGAAUUCAUCCGGGGAGCAUCACCAGCGCGUGUGCGGGGCAGAGCAGCGCUGGGUGCGGGUGAGCGUUGCUGCGGAGUCUGAGACUUUCUCAGCCCCUCCUUGCAGAUAAAUCCUUGGAGGAAGAUGCACCAAAGGUGCCUCAGCACAGUGUAAUUUAAUUCAAGAAGGUGGUAUUGAUGAAAACUGUUAAAAAAAAAAAAAAAUGGCGGGGGGGGGGGGGGGGGGGGGGGAAGAAAAGAAAAAAAAGAAAA